RNAcentral lists this ribosomal RNA (675 nucleotides) under Cytobacillus firmus. Its description in RNAcentral is "bacterial SSU rRNA". It matches the Rfam family "Bacterial small subunit ribosomal RNA", at positions 37 to 694 of the family's 1533-position model. Lineage: Bacteria; Bacillati; Bacillota; Bacilli; Caryophanales; Bacillaceae. The record is from RNAcentral.
CAACGGAUCGGCCGUAGGGUGGAAAACCGGAGCGGAAAAGGGGAGCUUGGUCCCUGAAGUCAGCGGCGGAGGGGUGAGUAACACGUGGGCAACCUGCCUGUAAGACUGGGAUAACUCCGGGAAACCGGGGCUAAUACCGGAUAACUCUUUUCCUCACAUGAGGAAAAGCUGAAAGAUGGUUUCGGCUAUCACUUACAGAUGGGCCCGCGGCGCAUUAGCUAGUUGGUGAGGUAACGGCUCACCAAGGCCACGAUGCGUAGCCGACCUGAGAGGGUGAUCGGCCACACUGGGACUGAGACACGGCCCAAACUCCUACGGGAGGCAGCAGUAGGGAAUCUUCCGCAAUGGACGAAAGUCUGACGGAGCAACGCCGCGUGAGUGAUGAAGGUUUUCGGAUCGUAAAACUCUGUUGUCAGGGAAGAACAAGUACCGGAGUAACUGCCGGUACCUUGACGGUACCUGACCAGAAAGCCACGGCUAACUACGUGCCAGCAGCCGCGGUAAUACGUAGGUGGCAAGCGUUGUCCGGAAUUAUUGGGCGUAAAGCGCGCGCAGGCGGUUCCUUAAGUCUGAUGUGAAAGCCCCCGGCUCAACCGGGGAGGGUCAUUGGAAACUGGGGAACUUGAGUGCAGAAGAGAAGAGUGGAAUUCCACGUGUAGCGGUGAAAUGCGUAGA